AACGAACGUUGGCGGCGUGGAUUAGGCAUGCAAGUCGAACGGGUUGGGGGCAACUCCAACCUAGUGGCGAACGGGUGAGUAACGCGUGGGAAACCUGCCCUCGAGAUGGGGAUAACAUUUCUAACGAGGUGCUAAUACCGAAUAAGACCACGGAGCUGCAUGGUUCUGCGGUCAAAGAUGGCCUCUGCUUGCAAGCUAUCACUUGAGGAUGGUCCCGCGUCCCAUUAGCUAGUUGGCGGGGUAAUAGCCCACCAAGGCGACGAUGGGUAGCUGGUCUGAGAGGAUGGUCAGCCACACUGGGACUGAGAUACGGCCCAGACUCCUACGGGUGGCUG
RNAcentral lists this ribosomal RNA (335 nucleotides) under uncultured Latescibacterota bacterium. RNAcentral describes it as "bacterial SSU rRNA". It matches the Rfam family "Bacterial small subunit ribosomal RNA", at positions 29 to 351 of the family's 1533-position model. Lineage: Bacteria; Pseudomonadati; Candidatus Latescibacterota. The record is from RNAcentral.